GUCGCCGUAGCUCAAUCGGAUAGAGCACUUCGCUACGAACGAAGAGGUUGGGGGUUCGAAUCCCUCCGGUGACAC
RNAcentral lists this transfer RNA (75 nucleotides) under Streptomyces phage BillNye. RNAcentral's name for it is "tRNA-Arg". It matches the Rfam family "tRNA". From Rfam's summary of the family: Transfer RNA (tRNA) molecules are approximately 80 nucleotides in length. Their secondary structure includes four short double-helical elements and three loops (D, anti-codon, and T loops). The record is from RNAcentral. Lineage: Duplodnaviria; Heunggongvirae; Uroviricota; Caudoviricetes; Stanwilliamsviridae. RNAcentral also lists the same sequence under 1 other name.